UGCAUGUUAUAUGUGAGAGAUGUGGGUGGGGGAGCCAUAAGCCUCCUGAACGUGUAUGUGUCUCUGGGUAGCAGGAACUAGCAACUCUGCCUGUUCUCAAAGCUGCUAAAGGUAUUAAUCACUUUGAUCUCUCCUGGGAGUCUGAGCAGAAACCAAUGGCUUCUUCAGCUGUGUUUUAUCCCAAUGCAUCCUGUAGCAGGAUUUUCAGAAGAAGCUGUUGCUUGGUCUGCAUUGAGCCGAGUGUGUAAGGAACAUGUGUGAAGAGGUCCCACAAACAUCGCAAUCACUUAGUUGCUCACAUCCUAUACUUAAUGGGCUGUGCUUUCCUCCUUCCUGAACCAAAUGUAGGUACCAACUGAAUCUGACCAAAGAGUUCCUGCACCUUGGCAGAGGGCUGCUAAUGGCUUCAUUACCACUUUAAUUACCCUUAACAGUUUCAGUGUUGUGCUGAUGAUUUGGGAAGAACAUGUCACCGAGCUGUGUGAACUGGCUAAUACACAGAGGGGAAGAUUUCUUCACUUCCACUAGAGACUCCCCGAGCAGCUGGGACCCAUCUGGGACGGUUCCUAAGAGAGGCAUUGCCGCAAGAUGAUGUUAUGUCUUUAAACUUGCAUUAUUGUGAAUCAUACCAUAAAGAAUGACUGUCACCCCCCCCCCCCUUGCUGUUUGCCCAAAUCCUAACA
Xenopus tropicalis (tropical clawed frog) is the source of this 683-nucleotide long non-coding RNA. RefSeq lists it as uncharacterized. NCBI's taxonomy places the organism in Eukaryota, Metazoa, Chordata, Amphibia, Anura, Pipidae. The record is from RefSeq and is a predicted model, not a curated record. The transcript has 2 exons.